This 560-nucleotide long non-coding RNA is filed under the name Haliotis rufescens (red abalone). Its description in RNAcentral is "uncharacterized LOC124120020". The record is from RNAcentral. Lineage: Eukaryota; Metazoa; Mollusca; Gastropoda; Lepetellida; Haliotidae.
AAUGAAUGUGACCAGAACGGCGAGUGUAAACAUGGCUGUGAACUCGGCUAUUAUGGCCCGGGGUGCAUCCAGUGUCACCAAGGAUGUCAUGGAACGUGCGACACCAUCAACGGUCACUGCGCUGAUGGAUGCAAGAAGGGAUACUACGGUUGGAACUGUAGCUUACACUGUGGAUCAUGUGUGACGAGUGUGUGUGAACAGCAGACUGGAUUGUGUGUAGAUGGAUGUAAUUCCACCUGUGACAAUGACUGUGACAAACUGUGCAAGGAGAACUGUUCUACGUCUGACAUAUGCCAGAAAUCCAAGUGGUGCAGUGAUGCAAUAACUUCCUCAACAACAGAAUCAGAUCUUGAUAAAAAGGUGUCUGUUGAACCUAACUACAUAUUGGACGUGGGAAUCAUCCUGGCUGUACUGCUGCUGAUUGUUAUUAUCCUAUUGCUGUUGCUCCUUCUGCGUAAAGCACCACAGUUUUGUCCACGGAGAAGAUUGUCCAACGGAAACGAUCCAGAACACACUGUGGUUGUUGAGGAAAUGCGUCAUAUGGAUACACGAUAUGAACC